Molecule: RNA transcript, 16783 nt
Organism: Pan troglodytes (chimpanzee)
Lineage: Eukaryota; Metazoa; Chordata; Mammalia; Primates; Hominidae
Gene: RNF152
Gene name: ring finger protein 152
Exons: 2
Source: RefSeq, a predicted model, not a curated record
AGUUUCGGUUUGUUUCUCUGCUCUGCCGGCUCCGGAUCGGGGGCGGACAGAGGGGUGCGCAGGGAUGUGUGCGCCCCUACGGCAGCCGCGCCGAAGCCGUGGAAGCGGGAAAGGGCAGCUGCCGCCUGCUGUAACUGGGGAGAUCUUCUGGACCACGGAAGGGGUGGCGGGGCCGCAGGGGUCCCGGGGAGGGGAGCGCGGCGUCUGGCGGGGCACGGGGGAGGUGGUCCCGGGAGUUGCGUGUCUCCUGAGAGCUGGCGGAAUUGGGCGGGCGGCCGCGGCGGGGAGCGGCGCUGUCGGCUGCUCGGCCGAGUCCUCGGAUGCCCCCUGGAGCUCCGGUCCGAGGGAGCUCGCCUCGUGCCCGCGCCGCGCGCCCCUGGGUGUGCACGUGCGCGCGCGCCCGCCCCAGCUGCGCCCCCGGCCCGCACACACCCCGGCUCAUCUUCUCCCGGUCCCCUUGUCUCGCGCCUUCUCCAGCCCUAGAAGUUGCCCCAGGGCCCCUCCCGGGAUUAGAGAGCGCUCUGAAGGACCAGAUGUUGGGGGUCUUUUGUGCAGACACACGCGCCUGGGGCGCUUGCUCCUGGAAGGACAGCGGCAGGACAAAGCCAGCGGGACUCGUGGGGCGCUGCUUGGGAAGCGGCGGUCCCCAGUCCCGCCUGGGGUCGGGGCAUGGCUUGGGGAGCGCUGCCUGGGUCUGGAGAGAGUAGAGAAAUCGCCAAAGCAGAGUGACGGUGACUUGAUGAGGUGACGGUGACUUGAUGAGGUGGCGGUGACUUGAUGAGGUGGCGGACAGGGGCAAACGAAAGAAAGAUGCUCGGGAUUGCCGCGCUGUGUGCCUGUCUGCGCGGGUGACUAGGCGCCCCGCAUUCCCAUAUGACCGGGUUACCUGGUAAAUUUUGCCAGUGUGUCUUUGCCCCAAGAUGUUAUUCCCCACCUGCUCCGAUUUCUUUCUUUCCUAGGGCUUACUGUUGCUAGUAGGCGCUCUGCCACCAGAGGGGAACUCGUGGGCGGGGGAGACUGCGGAGGAGGGGGGAGGUGGUUAUUUAUCCUGUAGAGACAAUUAGGAGCCGUGACGCCCCCUUCUCGGCCGCCAGCCCUCCACACCUCAUCUGCCUUGCUCCACCUCCCUAGUGCACCCGCUCCAGCCCCGUCUGCCCAGGAGGGCGCUUGGAUUUCCUUCUCCGCGGCGCGUAUCUAACCCUUCCUGCAUGUAUUUCACUGCAGGCUGAAGAAAGCUCAGUCUCAAUUGUGUUUCCUGCCUGUCAGCCUCUUGCCUCCUAAACGUGUACCAUUUCCACUUGAUGUCAUCACGCAGAAGGGGUGAAAGAGACUCGGUGACAGAUACAGUGUGGUUGGCAGGUGGACCCUGCUCGUCGUAGUCACUCAAGGACUCAAACUGAUGGAGUCUUGGUCUUGAUGUGAGCUUGCAAGAUCAUUGCAGCAUCGGGAAGGAAAUGCUGCAGGGUCUUGCUCUAGCAAUUAUGUGAUCCUACCCAGAGGUGAGUUCCAUCACUUUGGCCAGAACUGGGCAUAUGACCCUAUUUAAUCACAAUUCAAUAUUUCUUGUGCUGAAAAAGGGAGAAGUGGAUAUGGGUGAGUAGCACUAGUGACUUCCACAGGGAUCUGGUCUAGGUGAGGUUAGAAAGUGUUGGGACCUAGCUCAGUGCUUGGUGGGUAUUGGAUGUCACAAGAGUAUUGAUUGAAUCAACAACCUGUAAUUUACAACCUGUAUAUUUACUAUUCCAACCUGUAAUUUACUAAUAUAUGGUCCUACCCCCACCUGUAAUGUACUACUAAUAUGUUGAUAUGUUAUUUACUAACAUGGUUGUACACUGGUCAUCAAAUAAAAUAAUUAUAAUCCUCUCUUUGCCUGUUUCAAGUGCAUGUUUACUCUGAAGUGAAAGGCCAUUAGGUAUUUUCAAGGCUGAUUCUAGGAGGUUGUGAGCUUAGCAUUAUGUAAUAGAGAGGUGUUACUUACAGACUUUCUCUUCCUCACCAUCUGCCUCUUGUUUAAGGCUUCCUGAGUUUGUUUGGAACCGCCCAGGGUAGAAAAAGAGUGGCAAUGGGCCUAGGGCCACCCAGGAGGUGGCCUCCUACAGCAGAGACCACAGGGCAACAGAUAAGAUCUGAAGGGGGCAGGAAUGUGUUUAGGGUAACCUUGGGUCACCCUUUUGUUACUUUGAUAUUUAGAAAAAGCAAUUUGGGCAAGAGGCUUUUUCUGGUCACAGGACUAGUAGAACACCCAGAGAGUUUAGGGACAUUUGUGCUUCCAUCAGCAACUGUAUUGACUAGGAGGGUGGUGAGUUCUAAAGCCUUCCUUGCCUCACUCUCCCUAAAAAGAGUUGGAUGCUAUGGAAUAGGCAUUGCAAGGUGCUCUGGAUUCAGCAGUUGGUGGCUUGCAGAGAUUUUGCUUUGGGAAGAGCUGUUCACUCAUAUAUCUUUGUUCACAUUGUGAUAACUGCAUGCACGGAUGAGCAUUUUAAAGAUUUGAUAAAUACCUUAAGCAUAAGCGUAGAAUUUAACAAAAUAAUAUUGCUUUUGGUUCAGUAAUCACCUUGGCAAAGUCAUUUUUAUAAAGAUAGCUCUCCAAAUAAGGAAGUGGUGUGGUAAACUAUGUUAGUCUCCAAGUCACAGUGACUAAGGGGAUAUCAGUAUCAACCUAGGGAGGUUGAGACCACCCGGCUUCAUUCAAGUGAUAAGAUGUAGCACCCAAAGCGUUUCUGAAUUGGGAGAUGAGCAGCUUGGAGACCAGCAGGAAGAACCAGAUAUAGACCAUCCAAAAACCCAUUCAGGGUGCCUGGGGUUGGGCUGAGGGCCAGGCACAGACUGAGGGAGAAGGAAAAUGAAGCCCCGAGGGACUAGUCUUGAACUAUAUUUGGGAAGCCCGAAAAUGCAUUUCUAUAUUUUCUCUGGCCUCUGGGUCCCUACCACUUUAAUUUCAUACCCAAGUCGGCUGGUCAGGUAGGACACUUGUGGCGUGAAAGUGGUUUCUGGCACUGCCCAUUGUGACGUCAAAGAAACCGGAAAGGAAGAAGGUGUUGGUUUUCCUGCUCCUUUUCCCAUGGCUUCGAGAGUUACACUGUGUGAUCCAGCAGUCUGAUCCAUGAUUGAAAUCACAAUUGGGAUAAAGUUGGUAGAGAUGCUUCUUAAUUUACAGUGGGGUUAUAUCCUCAUAAACCCCUCAUAAGUUAAAAAUAUUGUAAGUGGAAAAUGCAUUUAAUACACCUAACCUACUGACAUCAUAGCUCAGCCUGGUCUACCUUAACUGUGCCCAGAAAUGCACAUUAGCCUACAAUGGGGGUAAAAUCAUGUAACAAGAAGCCUAUUUUGUAUUAAAGCAUCAAAUAUCUCAUGUAGUUUAUUGAAUACUGUAUUGAAAGUGAAAGAUUGGUCGUAUAGGCACUCAAAGUACGGUUUCUACUGAAUGUGUAUUGUUUUCACACCGUUGUAAAGUCAGAAAAUCAAAGGUCAUAGGUCAAACAGUUGUAAGUAGGGAACCGUCUGUGCUUGUUACAUGCUUAGGGAUUUUCUAUUUCUAAUUGACUCACUGUCAUUGUAGGAUUUAAAGAGGGAGGCCUCAAAUAGUGUAUCUGUGACCUGCAUCUCCUUUGGGUGGUUCUUGAUGUCCAUGAUUUCUUGGCCGAGAUCAUGUUUGGCUGCUAAGGCCUGGACUACGUUCUUUGUGGAGUUGUGAGGGGGCUGCUUGUGAUCUCCUAGGAGUGGAGAGGAUGCCUUAUUUACCCCUUGAUGUACUAAUGCCUGCAUAAAUAAAACUCAUUGCAAACAUCCUGCAUGAUGAAACUUACUCAAACAUCACAUAGACUUCCUGGUUACCUGCCUUUCAUGCAAAGGAGGGGCUGAGCAAAGGAAGAUGUGCUGCUGGUGGGAGCAAAGUUAUGAGGAAGUGGAAUCUCCAAAUGCUGUGUUCUGUGCUUGUAUUUUCUCUUUCUACAACCUCCUUUCCCCUGCCACUAUCGCAUUCCCACCUACCAAGGAAGUGUAACUUUCCCGGCUCAGUUCUGAUCUAGACAUCCAGAUAAUCACACUUGGUGCACUCCUCACUGAGGUUUGACAAGAAUGGAAGAGAUUUUGGUAAAAGCUUUGACAGAUACUGUGGAAAUAGGGAGCAUUCUUUUUUUUUUUUUUUUUUUUUUUUUUUGAGAUGGAGUCUCGCUCUGUCACCCAGGCUGGAGUGCAGUGGGGCAUGAUCUCAGCUCACUGUAACCUCUGCCUCCUGGGUUCAAACUAUUCUCCUGCCUCAGCCUCUCGAGUAGCUGGGAUUACUGGGAUAAUUUUUUCUAUUUUUAGUAGAGACAGGGUUUCAUCAUGUUGGCCAGGCUGGUCUUGAACUCCUGACCUCGUGAUCCACCCGCCUUGGCCUCCCAAAAUGCUGGAAUUACAGGCGUGAGCCACUGCACCUAGCCAGGAGCAUUCUUCUUACUAUUGCUGUUCUGCUCCUUGACAGAUUCACUUAGUGACAGUUGCCACUGCCGCAUCUUAGUCAAGAACCUUGUUUCUCUCUGGGCUAUGACAAUGGUCUUGCUCACUUUCUGGCUUUCCCACCCCACUCCAGUUUGGAAAAUGCUGUCACUCUUAGACCAUUAGGCCGAUUAAUCCUUCAUCCCCUCACUUAAUAACUUUUAGUUGCCCUUGUGGGAGGAAGCUCAUAUUCUUCAGUUUUGCUUUUCAAGUUUUCCCCAGGUUGACCCCAAACUUCCUUUCCAACCUCGACUUUUGCUCCGCCUGACUUUAAAACUGAACAUUAGCUGGGAUGGUUAAUCCACUGUUGCCCAAAAUGUUUUUCAUUGCCUCUUUCUUAUUCUAGCACAUUCUGUGGCCUAAAAUGUCCUCUUCCUUCCUCUGCCUCUAUCCUAUCAUCGAAGCCUCAGUUCAGCUCUCAACUCUUCUGAAAAAUUUAACUUGAUCACAUUAGCCUUUAGACAUUCUUUAUAAUCCAAAGUUCUCUGGCAAAAUUGCCUCCAUCUCUCAUUUCAUUCAACAUUCAUUCAUUCAUUCUACAAAGGCCACUUGUCAUAGAUUGUCUUGUAUUAUCACCUACGAUUGAAGUAUCUUUUUCUUUCUGUUUAAUUGCAAAGAAUAGAAAUUCACUCAAGCUUGUUUGCAUACAGGGAGGUGAAUUGAAGAGAUGUCCCAGGAUGUCUUGUCAUCAAGCCACAUUUCCCAAGAGUUCCAGUGAAUGGGACCCUUCCAGUUAUCACUCACCCUGGACCUGCUUAGUGCAGGAGAGGGUUGGGGGCACAGUUCCUUCCAAGGGGGCCUGUGGCUGGCUGAUGUAGCAGUUGUGACCUGCAAUUAGCCUACAAUGGGGGCAAAAUCAUGUAACAAAAAGCCUAUUUUGUAUUAAAGCAUCAAAUAUCUCAUGUAGUUUAUUGAAUACUGUAUUGAAAGUGAAAAACAGAUUGGUUGUAUAGGCACUCAAAGAGAUCUCAGUUCUCUUGCAAGCUCCUUAAAGAUGACUGGAUGAGGCUUUACACCACUGUGUGUUUGCCACCGUAUUUGUACACAGGAAGGGCUCAAUAAACAAAUCAUUGGUGACUCUUUGACAACACAGAAAACGAUUUUGACUUACAGUGAUUUAAAGGAAUUUUAGACCCUUUUAGCUUGAAGUCUUAAAGGAAGUUAAGAAGAUAGAAACUUAUUUUUAAGAGCUUCCCCUACUUGCAUUAAUAAUGAUUAAAUGUUGAAUCAAAUUAGAAUGACCAGGCUGCAGUGCGUAUACCAAUGUUUGGGAGGUGAAUGUUCUCAAUGAGGGUCAUGAUUCUAACAAAAUUAGUUGUUACUCAAAGCCUGUUUUUCAACUUCCAUUUGCCUCCUACUUUGCCCACAAAAAAAAAAAAAAAAAAAAAAAAAAAGAAAGCAAAAGAAAGCAAAAGAAAAAAAACCUCUACUUGGUGACAUACAACAAGCAGCUUUAGGACUUGACAGCCUACCUACCAGGCCACCCCACAAUCUAAAGGAGCAGGCAUUGAUGCCUGGAUUUGUGAUGACUGGGUGUAGUUGCCCACCGCUGACUGCCCCACCUGCGUUUAUAAUUAAAGGCUCCAAUACCUUUGUGAUAUACAUCUGUUUUACCUCCCUUCUUUUGAUUUUGGAAUACUCGUUCACAUGAUAGAAACUCUUCUUUGAUACUCAAAAUGCUUGAUCAUUAUGAGAGUGUUAUUAUGAAAGAGGGAAAUAUGUUCAGCUGCUUGAAGAAAAUGACCAGAAAUACAUUAAUAUUAAAAUAACGCUCUCGGCUGGGCGUGGUGGCUCACGCCUGUAAUUCCAGCACUUUGGGAGGCUGAGGCGGGUGGAUUACUUGAGGUCAGGAGUUCGAGACCAGCCUGGCCAACAUGGUGAAAUCCCAUCUCUACUAAAAAUACAAAAAUUAUCCAAGCAUGAUGGUGUGCACCUGUAAUCCCAGCUACUUGGGAGGCUGAGGCAGGAGAAUUGCUUGAACCUGGGAGGCAGAAGUUGCAGUGAGUUGAGAUCGCACCACUGCACUCCAGCCUGGGCAAAAGAGCGAGGCCCUGUCUCAAACAAACAAGCAAACAAACAAAACACUCUCAGUUUGAAAGGUAGUGAAUAGGGCUGAGAUAAGUGUCUCAGGAACCAAGUAUUUGUUGUGAUAUUCUUUUGCAGUUGUGUUGCUCUGGGGUAGGUUUGCAAAUUGCUUCCUCGAAGAUUAAUAAUAUGAGAUUAGAAGUGGUUGGUGAGCACAUGGACAAAUUUGUGUACUUUGGAGAAUUUACCCCUUUUGUUGCAUGAGACAUAAGAUUACUGCUAUUUUAAGUGAGUAAUAGUUAAUUCAACCAUGCAGGUAAAGAGGCGUCCUUAACUGGGAUAAAUAGUCCAUCCGCUCCACUCCUUUACACUGGUACUUCAGAAACUGAAGGUACAGAUCCAUCCAUUCACCUAUGGUGGUGUGUAAAAUAGCAUUUGAAACACUGAGCAUCAGUUAUUUAAACCACUUAUUGGGCAAACAAUUGCAUUCAUUAAAUGUAUUUUGAAUGGCCAGGCAUGGUGACUCACGCCUGUAAUCCCAGCCCUUUGGGAGGCUGAGGCAGGCAGAUCACCUGAAGUCAGGAGUUCAAGACCAGCCUGGCCAACAUGGAGAAACCCCGUCUCUACUAAAAGAUACAAAUUAGCCAGGCAUGGUGGCGGGCACCUGUAAUCCUAGCUACUCUGGAGGCUGAGGCAGGGAGAAUUGCUUGAACCUGAGAGGUGGAGGUUGCAGUGAGCUGAGAUUGUGCCACUGCACUCCAGCCUGGGCGACAGAAUGAGACUCUGUCUCAAACAAACAAACAAAAAAAGAAAAGAAUGUUGAAUGCCUAUGUUUUACCAGGCAUAAUUCUAACAAAAAUCCCUGCCUUCUAGCUUCCUGUAGGUAUUAAACUCAUAAUUAAUUUGGUUUUCUGCUUUUUUUUUUUUUGUAAUGGCAAAGCUAAAAGGGUAGAGAAUAAAAGAAAUGUAUCUGAUAUUCUCUCAAUUCUUGAUACCUUAGCAUAUAUGCCUGCCUUACAUGGCUCUAAUUCAGGUAAGUCAUUAUGAACUGGAAUUUUAAAAAGUAAGGUGGGUUUGGGUUUAAAUUUCACGUCUGCCACGUGACCUGAGUGCACAAGGUCUGACUGAGCUUUGUUCUUCAGCUGCAAAAUGGGGGAGAACCGACCUCAUUGAGUUAGUGUGAGAACAGGAGAGACUUACAUAUAAAGUGCUUAGUGUGUUGCCCUCCACAAUGUAAGACUAAAUAAAUGGCAGCUGUUGCUAACGUCCUUAUAUCCAGCAUCUACUAUCCACCAAUCACUGGGCUCAGUUCUGGAAAUAUCGGGAUGAAUAGGCAUGGUCUAAUCUGAAGAAGCCCUUAAGCUAGCCAAGGAGGUGAUGGCAUCCAAGUAACUACAGCCUUCAGCGUUUACAUGGAAGUUUCUUUUACCUGUCAUUAUUGUCAGAGUCUUUGGUUUGAAAGUCUGUAAAGCUUUCAGUGGCUCUGAGUUUAAAAUGAUAGGCCUUCUCAGGAGGAAGCGGGGAAAAAGCUGGAAGCAACUGGAGGAGAGGAGUCUGAGAAAGGGUUCUGAGCUAGCCCCCAGGCAACCUGAGUCUUCCUUAAAGGAGAUGAGUCGCCUUUCUCCUGUGGCCUCACUCUUCCCAAGUGAAAUGAAGGACAUCCUCUUUCUCAGGGUCUGCUUUCUUGGGAGUAGAGUGACCCCCAGACUUGCCCAUGACUAAGAGCAUACCUGGGUCAUGGAACUUUCCGUUUUAAAACAGUCCCAGAAAAAUUGGGAUGAGCUGGUCACCCUCCAGUCUUGUUCUGUGAUUGUUGUUUGACAUCCUGAAGCAGGCUUUGUAGAGAUCUAACAUUGUUAGUAGAGAUACAACCAUCCUACAAGAGAGGAGCAAACGGGGCAGAAUAAGAUGGGAAAAAAUAUUGUAGCCUUGUCAACCCCUUUAUUUAGGAAUCUGCUUUUUGGAAUGGGAUAUUUAUUAUUAUUAAAAAGAAGAGAACUGUUUAAUAAAGGCAAAGAAUCUAGGCUAUACAAUAUAAAUAUAAAGUUAAUGAAACCUUUUAGAAAUUCUUCUUAAAAAGGGGUAGCCGCUUGGGGCCCGGUACACAGUAGACACUCAGUAAAGACUUAUUGAAAUGGUGGCAUCAAUUUAUUCUUCAGAAAUACUUUUGAAAGCUGCAUAGAGAAGUGCAAGAGGCCUCUGAGACGUGCAUUCCAGGACAGGUUGAGGGGCUGAACACUGUGGGCUUUGAACCAGUCUGCGCCUCACUCUUCUGGGCCCUUCCAUCACUCAUUUGAAAAUGCAUGCAUCUAGAUAUGCCCUGGGUUUCCUGUGCUGGUAUCUGAGUGUGUUUAUGUAUGAGCUGAUGCUCUUCAUGACUGUGUUUUUUUUCUUUCUGGUGGAACCGCGUGAUGCUAGCAGACAAGUUGCUCUGUCUUUUGUUUGAAGCUAGGAUGCCUCUGGAACAUUCCUAUGUUGAAUACAUGAUGGUAGUGUGGGUUGGGUGGAGGGGGACAUUGUGUACUCAGCACCCAGUGUUUUCUUUCCAAAGAUUCCAGAGGGUUUUCGUGAUGAGUCUGUAAUACCAAGUGGGGGUUGGGAAGGGAACCAGGCCUGGCUCCACCCUAUAGCAGAGCUCUUAGAGAUCUCAGGAGCUGGACUCCAAUUUGCCAGCAUUUCCUCUCUCUCUGAGUCUCCAUUACUAACAUGUGGGAUUGAUGGAGACUGAUAAGGCCCUUAGCCAAGCCACCAAUUCUUCUAGUAUUUAGCUGAUGCCUCAAAUGAUAACCCUUUGUGCUCUCUUUCUCCUUGGAACCUUAGCAAAUUGCCAGCAACAGUGAUUAGUUUGUUGGUUGCCAGUUCUGUAACCUCAUGCACAGAGCACCUGAAGGCAAUUGCCAGACACUUGCGUGCCUCUUUCCCAUGUAAUCAUCAUGCACACCAAGAUACUGUGUUCACUGUGUUCCUGGCAAGCCAGAUUUCUUCAUAGUCUAUUACUUCACUGAAUAAAAAGGCAAAUGACUUGUUUUUGGAAGGGGAAUUUUAUAGGAAAACAGAAUGCAUUUAAUAAAUUGCCUUUAUUUUUACACACACAGUGCUAAAUAUUAGUACAAAGAGUUCGUUUCUCUGCAGAUUAAGUACAGGCUAAUCUAUGUUUUGGAUUUUGGAUUUUUUUGGAUUUUGUAAUAUUUGCAUUACACUUAAUAUUCACACAUUAUAUUUACUGGUUGAGCAUUCCACAUCUGAAAAUCCAAAAUUCUCCAGUGAGAAUUUCCUUUGAGUGUCAUGUUUUCACUCAAAAAGUUUCUGAUUUUGGAGCAUUUCGGAUUUCGGAUGUUUGAAUCCGAAUGCUCAACUGUAGUUUACUUUUCUUUUUUCCAACAGAGCUGUCAGAUCUAUUAAAAAUUAAUUGUUCAUAGACCCUACAUCUUAUAACAAAACAAUAAGUUAUUUAAGAAUUGCAUCUCAAGGCAGUCCACACUGUCCUAUAAGAAGACUGUUAAUUAACAAGGAAAAAUGUCUUCUCUGAGAAGGAAAUAAGAAUAUGUCAGAUUUCACCCCAAAUUUAUUUCAUCUUAUUUGUAGAACUUGUGCGUGGAGAUGCUAAACCCUCUCUUUGUGCUCCUUAAAAUAACAUUCUCUUGGGGGCAAAUCUAGUUUGCAAUGAAGAUUGAAAAAUAGAUACCAUCUAGAUAAUUUAGAAUUCCUUAUAAAUUAGGAAGACAGUGAUAAUCAAUUUUGGAUUCUAAACCUGAGUCAGCCUAGUUCUAGUUGCUUCAGCAUUCAUUUGAUUUCAUGUCUUUGACUAUUGCAAAGGGCAACAGUAUUAGCUUCUGUUACCGCUUUUAGUAAAGGUGAAUGUGAUUUUACUGAGACAGAAACCCUAGAAAUGGGUUGUUUGCCUGCAAUCUGCACUUCUCCUCUUCCCAUCAGAGGAAGCAGUUCUGAACAGACUCAUUGUCCUCUGGGUUCUGGAGUCCGCUUCCCUCAUUUUUAUUUCUCCCUUGAGAUUCUGACUUGUAAAGAAACAAAUUUCUUCCUUUUAUGAGGCUUUUUAGUGCCAGGUGACUGGUGUCGUUCGAUAUAAUCUAUAGUACUUAACAGCUAAAUACAUUUUGUUUUCCCCAAGCUGAUUACAGUGAAAAUAAGAAAACGAGAGAGAGAAGGCCGGGUGCGGUGGAUCACACCUAAUCCCAGCACUUUGGGAGGCUGAGGUGGGUGGAUCCUCUGAGGUCAGAUGUUUGAGACCAGCCUGACUAAUAUGAGGAAACCCCAUCUCUACUAAAAAUACAAAAAUUAGUUGGGCGUGGUGGCAUGUGCCUGUAAUCCCAGCUACUUGGGAGGCUGAGAUGGGAGAAUCGCUUGAACCCCAGAGGCGGAGGUUGCAGUGAGCUGAGAUUGCAUCACUGCACUCCAGCCUGGGUAACAAGAGUGAAACUCCAUCUCAAAAAAAAAAAAAGAAAACUAGAGAGAGAAAGACAACAGUUUGAGGGAGGAGGAGUGAGUAAAGAGAAGAAUAAGGGUAAAGAAUUGUGUAGGGGUAUGGUAUUUUCAAAAUUCAGUUUUAGUCAAAAUGAAGAACAACUGUUUACAUGGUGGUGUUGGCUUCAUAAUUAAAAACAUUUUGCCUGAUGCAAAUCGAAGUUAUUAUUAAUAAUGUUUUACAAAAUGACAUGGAAAUUUAUCAGAUUUUUCCCUUUCCUAACUAUCUUGGAUUCCACAAUGUAUUUCAUGACAACCAAAAGACAAUUUGGGAGAGUGGGGGAGAUAACUGUAGUAGAAAUAUAGUAGUAGAUAGUGUUUAUUAGACGCUUGGGUGCUUUCAGUUUAAAGUGCUUUAAUCACGUUAUCUGGGAGGCAGUGGAACUUGGAAAAGCCCGGUGACUUGUCCAAAGUUACGUGGCGAGUUUGUACUGGAGCUGGAACUGGGAUAUGUGACCCUGGGCAGUCUGGCUUGAGUCCUUCCUCUUAACUGCCUGUGAGCCACACUCACAACUGGGAUUAGGGUUCAAAAGCAUUUUGAAAACUGGUUCAGUGUAACGUAAUUUAGGAAGAGAUCUGAAUUCUUUGCGGACCUGUCUUUGGGAACAAAGAUGGACAAUUUUGGCCACCCAUCUGUUGAAUGUGUUUGAUGUUGACUUAGAGAAUGGGUUGUUUGAAAGCUUGGGUGUCAAGUUUUGUUGGGAAAUUUGCAGCAAGAUUUCUGGCUAUUACCUGAGUUUUGUCCUGUGCUAAUUCAGGUUUCUGUGAAGUCAGGUGGUGUGAAUUGUUUCUAGAAGGGCCACUUAAUUGAACACCAGUGUAUAUAGUUAUGUGAGAGAUUCUGUCAGAGUCUGGGAGCUUAGGAUUUUUCGGAAUACGCUACUAAAAAGCUGUGAACAAAAAAAAAAUUUUUUUUUUUUUGAGAUGGAGUUUCGCUCUUGUUGCCCUGGCUGGAGUGCAGUGGCGCGAUCUCGGCUCACUGCAACCUCUGCCUCCUGGGUUCAAGCGAUUCUCCUGCCUCAGCCUCCUGAGUAACUGGGGUUACAGGUGUGCGCCACCACACCUGGCUAAUUUUGUAUUUUUUCAGUAGAGAUGGGGUUUCUCCGUGUUGGUCAGGCUGGUCUCGAACUCCUGACCUCAGGUGAUUCGCCUGCCUCAGCCUCCCAAAGUGCUGGGAUUACAGGUGUGAGCCACCGUGCCUGGCCUCAAAAAAAUGUUUUUACAAUCCUCCCUCCCUAGUUACUGUUUCUUCCUGACCCCAUACCAGAAAGUGGAAUAAAUCAUACCCUUUUGUAUUCCCAUUCCUUUGUGUAGUUCCCUUUCCCCGGAACACGCUUUCUCCCUAUCCUUCCUCUCUGCCCUCCCGCAAAACACAGCAUAGUGAUGGAAAGCUAUAAGUACCAUAUAUACAGUCGUCCCUCAGUAUCUAUGGGGCACUGAUUCCAGGAACCCCCUUAGAAACCAAGAUCCAUGCAUGCUCAAGUCCCUGAUAUGAAAUGCCAUAGUUUUUGCAUAUAACCUAUGCACUUCCUCGUGUAUACUUUAAAUCGUCACUAGAUUACUUAUGAAGCCUAAUACAAUGUAAAUGCUAUGCAAAUGUAAUGUAAACAUGAUGUAAAUGUAAACGCAAUAUAAAUGUAAGUUGUUGUUAUACUGUAUCGUUUAGCAAGUAAUGACAAAAUGAAGAAGUCUGUGCACAUUCGGAGUGGAGGUAACUAUUUAGUAUUAUUUUUCCUGAAUAUUUUUGAUCCAUGGUUGGUUGAAUCCACAGAUGUGCGACCCAGAUAUGGAGGGCAGACUGUACUUUCUUCGAUACUUCGUUCCCAUUUUACUUGUCCUGUUGAUCCUCCUCCAGCUCCCUCAGGCGGACUUACUUUCCUUUCCAUUUGUUCUUUCUAAUCCCACUUACCCUGUGUGUGAAAAUUCUGCAUAUGGUUGCCUCUCCAGCUCUAGUGUAAGUUCUUUAGCUGUAGGAACUGCUAUCAUUUGAAUGUAUGUCCCUCCAAAAUUCAUGUUGGAACUUAAACCCCAAGAUGAUGGUAUUAAGAGCUGGGCCUUUAGGAGUUGAUUAGGCCAUGAAGGCUCUGCCCUUGUGAAUGGGAUUAAUGCCCGAAGAGGCUUCAGAGAACUGCCAGGCCCUUCCAUUUCUUCUGCCACGUGAGGACACAACAAUCAGGUGUCAUCUUGGAAACAGAGGCCUCUCACUAGACACUGAAUCCACUGGUGCCGUGGUCUUGGAUUUCUCAACUUCCAGAACUGUGAGAAAUAAAUAUUUAUUAUUUAUAAAUCACCCAAUCACAAGUAUUUUGUUGUAGCAGCACAAACAGACUAAGACAGAAAUCUUGUCUUGUUCAGGAGUUUGGAUCAAUGAAUGGAGGCUCAAACAAGCAAAUGAACAAACAAGUGAUUAACACGUGAGUUUGUUGGGAUUGCUUAGGGUAUAUGUUAGUGGACAAUGAUGUUAGACCUGAGCAUGGACCUGUGACUGCUGCAGAGGCUGGCUAGAUGCUCACCAGAAUCUCAGCAUUUUGACCUCUGGGGCUGGAUAAUUCUUUAUUGUGGGAAGACCGUCCUGUGCAGUGUGGGAUGUUUAGUAGCAUCCCUGGAUUCUACCCACUAGGUAUCAGUUGUCCCAGUUCAAAUAAAAGAUGUCUCCAGACAUUGCCAAAUGUCCUCUAGGGGACAAAAUUACCCCUAGUUGACAAUCACUCGACUAUACUACUUUCUGUACCUAGGUGGGGCCAUGUGACUGGUUCUCACCAAUGGGAUGUAUAUGGAAAUGAGAGGCAGUUCAGAGUGGGAUGCCUUUUCUACCCUCGUUCUCUUUCUAAUCUGCUGGUCAGUUUCAAGAGUCCAGGGGAGAAGUCUGAAGUCCUAGGAUAUGGCAGAAAGAACCUGGGUUCCUAAGAGACCUUGUGGAGCAGAUGCUCCCUUGCCAAGUGUCAUUGGAAUACACUGUGAAGAAGAGAGAAACCAUUACUGCAUUUGGCCACUCAGAUUUGGGGGUGUUCAUUUUGGCAGUCUACUGUCUGACUUUCCCUGACAUUUGGGAUGAAGAGACUUUGCUGAAGCAGCCGUGCCAGUAUUCCUGGUAGUGAGUAAAAAUAGAGAUUCCAAACACAAAAAAAGGGACAGAUUUUGUUUGUUUUUUCUUGUGCAGCAUCAGCCUUAUUGCAAUAAUUCUUGUAAUUUCUAUAUUUUAUCAGAAAAUGAGAUGAUGAUAAUAUUUGUUAUCCCUACCACCCUAAUAAUUUUGACGUGUGAUUAACAAGCAGCUUUGAGCUAUAAAUACUUUCAGUAGAAAGUAAUAAAACCUCAAGUGUACUGGCAGUUUUCAUUUCACUGUGUAUGUAUGUGUGUCUGCAACGAAAGUUCGAGUUGAGAUAUUUGUGGCAAUUUAUGUAUAAUGCAUUUUAACAUUUUUUGGGAACAGUGACAGAUGUGGAUACCCUGCAGUCACAGCUGUUUCCCACACCAUUAAUAAAUAAAUCACUGUAUAAUAUGACAGUCUUUGAAAUGGACUCUUAUAUGCUUAGUCCAGCUGAAUGCCAUGGAUUAGUGUCCUGUAAAAUGCUGAACCCAAGAACUUGCUUAUCAGACUAAAUUCAGUGCACCAUUCUAAAUUUAUUCUGCUGCAAUCAAUUGUAUUUGUCAUUGUGUCUACGCAGAACCCCUGACCAAAAUACGUAAGUCAAAUGGUUUCAUUUGGUGCCCAUCUGGAUGACAACAGCGGAGUUGUUUGUGGGAGACAAUGGCUGUUUGUGGAUGAGUCUUUCGAUGGCUGGAAGCUUUGUGUUUGGUUCAGUGGUCUGUGUGCCUGUUCUAUUUGCACAGGAUUCAAUCCUUUGUACAAAGAGCCACCCCAACUGAGUUUCACCAUACCUGUCAGUCAAAAUCCCUGUCUCCAGGAAAUAUAGCAAAUCUGGCUUGAGGAUACAAUGGUCAAGUCUCUUUUUCCAGUAAAUAUCCUGCUAGGUGUCUUAACUUCCAAAUAUCUGAGUCUAGUGUUUUGUUCCCCCAUAUAAAGCAUUUGCAUAAUAAUGAGCAUAAGACUGACACUUACGCCAUGAAUUGUGUGCCAGGCUCUAAGGGUUUUGCUUACAGUGCGUGCAUACUCCUCACAGCAAUCCUACGGGGUAGAGUAGACGGUUCUAUUAAUGUCUCUAUUAUAUGGGUGAGGAAAUUGAAGCACAGAGAGCCUAAAUGACUUUCCUGAGGUCACAAAGCAAGUAAAAGCCAGAGCUGGGAUUAGAACCCAGUCAAGACGUCUCCAGCAUUGAUGCUGUAAGCCACUGCAGUAUGCUGCCACAGCCUUGUCAUUCUGUUAAGGAGAUGUGCUUUCUCUGAGAUCUCCUGUAUUUUCAUGACUUCGACUAACAUCUGUAUAUGAUGCUUAAAAAGAGUUGUUGAUAUUAUUGCUUAGUUUUUUGUGUGGGCUGAGUGUACUUUCUCAACUUCAUUGUCAGCUGAUGCUCUUGUAUCUUCCCUAACUCUUGGUAUAAUGCUUCCAUGUCAGAAAGUAGUUCAUUAGCAUGUUGAUUUGGUUAUUUUUAUACCAAGAUGCUCCUUUAGAAGGUUACCCUGCAGGAGUAAGAACAUGUGUACAAAGGGAUGCAAUUGCCAGGUGGUAUAGGAAUGAAAUGGUAGUGGAAUUCAGAGGAUUCAGAAUGCCUUUACAAAAAAUGUAGUAUUUGACAAUGCCCGUGAAGGGUAGACAGUAAUUAUCUGGACACAUGGCAGUGAGGAAUGGCAUUGGUGACAGCAUGGGGGUAAGUGGCUCCUGUCUUCCAGACAGUGAGUAAUGCUUUAUGACUGGGACUGGUAGUAUGGGAGUAGGAAUAGUAUGAAAAAGGAUUGGAAAGGUUGGUGGGAGGGGGACUUAGGGAUUUAUUUGACAGGAAGCCAUUGAUGGUUUGGGGACUGGAGGAGGAUGUGGUCAUAAAGCUGUGUUUUUAGAAGCUUAAUCUGGCAGUCAUCAAUAUGGAUUGGAGCAGGAAGGGACGAAGGUGGGGAGACCAUGGAGGUGGGUGGGGGAGGUCCAGAGAUGUAAUGAAGACCUGAGCCCUUGGGGAGGGUGGCAGGAAUGGGAGGGUGAGUCAAUGCAAGAGACAUUUCAGAGACAGAGCUAGUAGCAGUUUGGAGAUUAAUUGAAUGAGUGGUGAGACAUACACAAGUUUUUAAGUCUGAGGUAUUGGGUAAAUAAUGGUAACGGAUAUAAAAUUGCAGGGAAAAAAACAGAUUUGGGAGAAAUUAAGAGUUUGCUUUAGAAGCAGCAUUGAGUGGACAGUUCAGAGCUGUACCUUCGUGGGUAAUCCACGCCCAGAUGGUCAUUAUGAAUGUAAGGCUUAAACACCUUGCCACCAGGGAGAGAAGCUCUCUAAAGAGCUGACCAUGUAAAGGCAUAGGUCUGAAGGGUUGUAGGAACGAAGAAAAAAAAUUUGUUUACUGGAACAGAGGACACUUGCAUGCACUGACAAUUAAAUUUGAUGUCUUAUUAAAUUUGAUGUCUUAUUUAAAGUUAGGAUGUAGCUUAACUUAUAUUUAUUAUUCCCAAAUUGGUUAUGAUUUCAACUGGAUUUAAAAUAUUGAAAAGAUUUUACAGACGGUGCUUAAGGACUGUUCCAUAUAGGACCCUGUCUGGAAUAUUGGGAAUCUGGUUGGAAGAUCCCUUCUCAUACAAAUUGGUUAACUCAUUAGCCUCCAGGUGUUACCCAAGUUGUUGCCUCAUUUAGAAUGCCUGCCUUCCCUUUCUUCCUCUAUCCUUCUAUUCAAACUCUAACUCUUCCUUCAAUACCCU